CCCAUGGCUCAGAUUGAACGCUGGCGGCAGGCCUAACACAUGCAAGUCGAGCGGAUGAAGAGAGCUUGCUCUCUGAUUCAGCGGCGGACGGGUGAGUAAUGCCUAGGAAUCUGCCUGGUAGUGGGGGACAACGUUUCGAAAGGAACGCUAAUACCGCAUACGUCCUACGGGAGAAAGCAGGGGACCUUCGGGCCUUGCGCUAUCAGAUGAGCCUAGGUCGGAUUAGCUAGUUGGUGAGGUAAUGGCUCACCAAGGCGACGAUCCGUAACUGGUCUGAGAGGAUGAUCAGUCACACUGGAACUGAGACACGGUCCAGACUCCUACGGGAGGCAGCAGUGGGGAAUAUUGGACAAUGGGCGAAAGCCUGAUCCAGCCAUGCCGCGUGUGUGAAGAAGGUCUUCGGAUUGUAAAGCACUUUAAGUUGGGAGGAAGGGUUGUAGAUUAAUACUCUGCAAUUUUGACGUUACCGACAGAAUAAGCACCGGC
This 486-nucleotide ribosomal RNA is filed under the name Pseudomonas sp. CL4.56. RNAcentral describes it as "bacterial SSU rRNA". It matches the Rfam family "Bacterial small subunit ribosomal RNA", at positions 16 to 497 of the family's 1533-position model. The record is from RNAcentral. Lineage: Bacteria; Pseudomonadati; Pseudomonadota; Gammaproteobacteria; Pseudomonadales; Pseudomonadaceae.